This 119-nucleotide ribosomal RNA is filed under the name Betta splendens (Siamese fighting fish). The record is from RNAcentral. Lineage: Eukaryota; Metazoa; Chordata; Actinopteri; Anabantiformes; Osphronemidae.
GCUUACGGCCAUACCACCCUCAGCACGCCCGAUCUCAUCUGAUCUCGGAAGCUAAACAGGGUCGGGCCUGGUUAGUACUUGGAUGGGAGACCGCCUGGAAAUACCAGGUGCUGUAAUCU